CUUGUUACCCCUCAUAACUUAUAACCACCAUCACCAAGGUGGUUCACUCACAGUGAGGCCCAGCUAUUGCACUGCAGCGGCGCUGACCUCUGCGAAUUCCCCAAAUAUGGGAAUGUAGACUACAUAAUUUCUGGCAGCGGGGGACUGCAUUCACCCUCCUU
Paramormyrops kingsleyae is the source of this 161-nucleotide small nuclear RNA. Its record names the gene U1. It matches the Rfam family "U1 spliceosomal RNA". Rfam says of the family: U1 is a small nuclear RNA (snRNA) component of the spliceosome (involved in pre-mRNA splicing). Its 5' end forms complementary base pairs with the 5' splice junction, thus defining the 5' donor site of an intron. Lineage: Eukaryota; Metazoa; Chordata; Actinopteri; Osteoglossiformes; Mormyridae. The record is from Ensembl.